GGGUGGUAAUGCCGGAUGCUCCGACAUGACGCAUGUCGUGUCGGGAAAGAUUCUAUCGGUAUGGGAUGGGGUCGCGUCCUAUCAGCUUGAUGGCGGGGUAACGGCCCACCAUGGCUUCGACGGGUAGCCGGCCUGAGAGGGCGACCGGCCACAUUGGGACUGAGAUACGGCCCAGACUCCUACGGGAGGCAGCAGUGGGGAAUAUUGCACAAUGGGCGCAAGCCUGAUGCAGCGACGCCGCGUGCGGGAUGACGGCCUUCGGGUUGUAAACCGCUUUUGACUGGGAGCAAGCCCUUCGGGGUGAGUGUACCUUUCGAAUAAGCACCGGCUAACUACGUGCCAGCAGCCGCGGUAAUACGUAGGGUGCAAGCGUUAUCCGGAAUUAUUGGGCGUAAAGGGCUCGUAGGCGGUUCGUCGCGUCCGGUGUGAAAGUCCAUCGCUUAACGGUGGAUCCGCGCCGGGUACGGGCGGGCUUGAGUGCGGUAGGGGAGACUGGAAUUCCCGGUGUAACGGUGGAAUGUGUAGAUAU
Molecule: ribosomal RNA, 529 nt
Filed under: Bifidobacterium adolescentis
Lineage: Bacteria; Bacillati; Actinomycetota; Actinomycetes; Bifidobacteriales; Bifidobacteriaceae
Description: bacterial SSU rRNA
Rfam family: Bacterial small subunit ribosomal RNA
Source: RNAcentral